UUGGGAUAACUCCGAGAAAUCGGGGCUAAUACUGGAUAUGACUACUGGCCGCAUGGUUGGUGGUGGAAAGUUUUUCGGUGAGGGAUGGGCUCGCGGCCUAUCAGUUUGUUGGUGAGGUAGUGGCUCACCAAGGCGAUGACGGGUAGCCGGCCUGAGAGGGCGACCGGCCACACUGGGACUGAGACACGGCCCAG
RNAcentral lists this ribosomal RNA (194 nucleotides) under uncultured Actinomycetales bacterium. RNAcentral describes it as "partial 16S ribosomal RNA". It matches the Rfam family "Bacterial small subunit ribosomal RNA", at positions 138 to 334 of the family's 1533-position model. The record is from RNAcentral. Lineage: Bacteria; Bacillati; Actinomycetota; Actinomycetes; Actinomycetales.